AACGAACGCUGGCGGCAUGCCUAACACAUGCAAGUCGAACGAGACCUUCGGGUCUAGUGGCGCACGGGUGCGUAACGCGUGGGAAUCUGCCCUUGGGUUCGGAAUAACAGCGAGAAAUUGCUGCUAAUACCGGAUGAUGACGUAAGUCCAAAGAUUUAUCGCCCAAGGAUGAGCCCGCGUAGGAUUAGCUAGUUGGUGAGGUAAAGGCUCACCAAGGCGACGAUCCUUAGCUGGUCUGAGAGGAUGAUCAGCCACACUGGGACUGAGACACGGCCCAGACUCCUACGGGAGGCAGCAGUGGGGAAUAUUGGACAAUGGGCGAAAGCCUGAUCCAGCAAUGCCGCGUGAGUGAUGAAGGCCUUAGGGUUGUAAAGCUCUUUUACCCGGGAUGAUAAUGACAGUACCGGGAGAAUAAGCUCGGCUAACUUCGUGCCAGCAGCCGCGGUAAU
Molecule: ribosomal RNA, 449 nt
Filed under: uncultured bacterium
Lineage: Bacteria
Description: bacterial SSU rRNA
Rfam family: Bacterial small subunit ribosomal RNA
Source: RNAcentral